Pipistrellus kuhlii (Kuhl's pipistrelle) is the source of this 707-nucleotide long non-coding RNA. RefSeq lists it as uncharacterized. The record is from RefSeq and is a predicted model, not a curated record. NCBI's taxonomy places the organism in Eukaryota, Metazoa, Chordata, Mammalia, Chiroptera, Vespertilionidae. The transcript has 3 exons.
ACUAGGUACCCAAGGCAGAAUGCAAACUUGGGGUGGAUUCCAUUUCCAAAGACUCUGCUCUGUAUCCUUGGAAAGGGAGGAGGGGAAGAAUAGACAUCCUUGGCAUCACUUCUUUAAAGCGCAACUAGGGUCCUCCGAGGCGCGGACUGUCUGCCUUGGGACAAGUCCCCGCGUGGAGGAGGCAUCCACGCCACGCGGCCCGCUCGCUGCCGGGGAAGGUGGAGGCCAGCGCGUGGGGAGGGAACACAGACCUGGUGUCCAGGAGUGCGGCCCUCCGGGAGCCCCACCGCCCAUCAGGCAGAACUCAGAUCUUGGCACCCUCUGGCCAGACUCAGGUCAGCUCAUGGAACAGCGGCGGCUGGUGCCACACAAAGAACUUCACCAGGCUCCCUUGAGCCUCUUUCUCUGUAUUUUCGGCUCAGCUCGGCCCUAAAUAAAGAUCCUUCCACUCACUGGGAUCUGGAAGAGCCAGAAGACGUGCGGGCUGGGGGCCGGGCUGGAACAAAAGCCUGCACAAGUGCCCUUGUGUGCAGGUAACAUGUCCCCUCUCCUCCAAGGCUCUGGCCGCGGCCGGGCACCUCCGCGGGCUCCGCGCUGACAGAUCUGUGUCCCCGCUACCGCUUCUCCCCUUACCGGCCCGCCUACACCCGCCUCGCCCUCCGGCCCGAGCUUCCAACCUGGCGGUGGCAGCCGCAAUCUGGAUCUUA